UACGGAGGGUGCAAGCGUUAUCCGGAUUUACUGGGUUUAAAGGGUGUGUAGGCGGGCAUUUAAGUCUGGGGUGAAAUCUCCGAGCUCAACUCGGAAACUGCCUUGGAUACUAUUUGUCUUGAAUUAUGUUGAGGUUGGCGGAAUAUAACAUGUAGCGGUGAAAUGCAUAGAUAUCGGGAGGAACACCAGUGGCGAAGGCGACUUCCUGGCCCGUUCUUGACGCUGAGGCGCGAAAGCUAGGGGAGCAAACGGG
RNAcentral lists this ribosomal RNA (253 nucleotides) under uncultured bacterium. RNAcentral describes it as "partial 16S ribosomal RNA". It matches the Rfam family "Bacterial small subunit ribosomal RNA", at positions 524 to 776 of the family's 1533-position model. The record is from RNAcentral.